RNAcentral lists this ribosomal RNA (360 nucleotides) under uncultured bacterium. RNAcentral's name for it is "partial 16S ribosomal RNA". It matches the Rfam family "Bacterial small subunit ribosomal RNA", at positions 338 to 696 of the family's 1533-position model. The record is from RNAcentral.
CCUACGGGAGGCAGCAGUGAGGAAUAUUGGUCAAUGGCCGGGAGGCUGAACCAGCCAAGUCGCGUGAGGGAAGACGGCCCUACGGGUUGUAAACCCCUUUUGUCAGGGAGCAAGGUGCAGGUCGGGACCUGCUGUGAGAGUACCUGAAGAAAAAGCAUCGGCUAACUCCGUGCCAGCAGCCGCGCUAAUACGGAGGAUGCGAGCGUUAUCCGGAUUUAUUGGGGUUAAAGGGUGCGCAGGGGGAGGCACAAGUCAGCGGUAAAAUGGCGGGGUUAAACCCCGCUCCGCCUUUGAAACUGUGUGCCUUGAGUGCGCGAGGGGUAGGCGGAAUGCGUGGUGUAGCGGUGAAAUGCAUAGAUA